Molecule: small nucleolar RNA, 98 nt
Organism: Erigeron canadensis
Lineage: Eukaryota; Viridiplantae; Streptophyta; Magnoliopsida; Asterales; Asteraceae
Product: small nucleolar RNA SNORD96 family
Exons: 1
Source: RefSeq, a predicted model, not a curated record
AGGCUGAUGAAGAUUAUCUGUAUUAAAAGAACACCAUCUUUCGGGACUGAAUGACUUUUUCGAAAGUUUUAAUGUUAAUUCUACAAUUUCUGAAGCUA